Molecule: long non-coding RNA, 99 nt
Organism: Nanorana parkeri
Lineage: Eukaryota; Metazoa; Chordata; Amphibia; Anura; Dicroglossidae
Exons: 4
Source: RefSeq, a predicted model, not a curated record
GAAAAAUAGCGAGCAUUUAGGCAGCGUAGGGUGAUGUCACACACCUUUUGGGAGGGCACAAUUUUCUGUUCUUGCCUCGGGUGCAAAAGGAGCUAGCUA